RNAcentral lists this unclassified non-coding RNA (240 nucleotides) under soil metagenome. Its description in RNAcentral is "partial contains 5.8S ribosomal RNA, internal transcribed spacer 2, and large subunit ribosomal RNA". The record is from RNAcentral.
AACACUGUUAACCUGCGGUACCUGCGGAAGGAUCAUUACAGAGUUCGUGCCCUCGCGGGUAGAUCUCCCACCCUUGUGUAUUUUCUACAUCUUGUUGCUUUGGCAGGCCGUUGGUUCGCCAACCACCGGCUCGCGGGCUGGUGCGUGCCUGCCAGAGGACCUCUCAAACUCGGUUUGUUAGUGUCGUCUGAGUACCAUAACAAUCGUUAAAACUUUUAACAACGGAUCUCAGAUCGGAAG